ACUAGUGUUCCAAAAGAAAUUUGUAUGUCUUUUGAAACAGCUAGCUUCAGGGUUUCUUCUUCUCGAAAUUUCCCUUCUCCAUGAUCCUUCACCGUAGUUACGAUCCAUCUUCUUCUUCUACAAAAAAAAUUCAAUUCUUUCUUUCCGCUAAACUUUCCACCAUCACCUUCCACUUCACAAAUAUAGGUAGAAUCUGGGUCAGUUCCCUGAAAUAUUGUCGCCGGCGUCGAUGUCGCUGAAAUCGCCUGGGCUUUUCUAGAAACCGCAGACAACGUCGUUUUGGCACGACUUGAGCCCGUUUUGGUCAACUCACAGCUUCGUCUCAAGUUUGUUGGGGGCAGCUCUCUGCCGCCACGAUUUCUCCGUUGCCGUCUCCGGACAUCUUCAAUCGUGGCAACCUGUGCAGAGCCCUUCCGAACGAGCAGCUGCGAAGCGUGGGUUUUAGCAACCCCUGCUUAGCAAUCUUUCGGUGCCGCCGUUCCCUCAACAUUCUCCGCCAAACUCGCUGCCAAACUCACCGGUGCAGAAGGAGACUGGUACAGGGGCCGGUACGGGGAAGAAGGAGAUGACAAAAUCGUCUUUUAAUCAAGUCUAGGGAGUGCAGGAAGAAGAAAUGGAGGUGCAGGAAAAAACAGCCGAAAGCAUGAGUUUGAGGAUGCAACUCAGUCCAGUACAAGAUAAAAGAAAAAACAAUGGACAUAUACCUCUAACUUUCUCUCACCCCUCUCAAGCAAAAACCAGAGAAUGAGGAGAAAAUAAGAAAAAUUAAGACUAUUACUCUCCUCUUAUUAUCUAAUCAAACUUCAAUAGUUUAUUUUCAAACCCACUCAACAGCAACAUUUUAAUAAAGUGAGCGUAGUUGUUCAAAUGUUCUAAUAGACUCAUUUUGACCAGUUCAUGCCAACAAUAUUUUAUUUGGUAGAUAGUUAGAUAUUUUUGGUAUAUGUUACCCGUGUUAUUCAUGCGAUUAAAUGGCGUCUUAGUCAUUUACCUACCGUUGGCAUUUGAAUUUCUUUGUCCAAAUAUUUAAGAUCAUAUUUCUUUUGGUAUCAUAUAGAAAAUGUUGUAUAUUGUUCAAGGAUCCUGUCUCUCACGCGUGUCUUUCAGGUAUUAUCUACAAUGGUUCAAGCUGGAAGCUAUUUUAGCAGGAUUUACUGUGGAUAAAGUUACUCCAACGAUGAUUCACCCUAGAAAGAAUAUGCAUUGGAGAAGAAACAAAAUGACGCAUUCGCUGAACUUCCCAUUUAAAAUUUUAUUUAUGCUUCAUAUGAAGUAGGAUGAGGAUGCCACGAACCUUUGCAGCCCAUUUCUGUAUACCGCCGGUAAACCAGCGAGUUCAGUUUCUUAACCCCACCCCAGCAUGCAUUUUGGAGUUUUGAUGUUUGAUGUUCAGUCUCACGGAGGGCUGUCUUUUCACCACCAUUACAAUUGAAAUGGCCCCAAUGAAUCCAAUUCUGGGAAGGUAAUGAUACAUUUGGAGGUAUUCGGAAAGAUCUGCCAGAACCACCAACAAUUUUAUCAUGCAUUUUUUCCACUUCUUUGCACACUAGAUCCAAAAUACUCAGAAAGUCUCUCACAAUCAUGAAAAUUCUGAGAGGGUGGGCUUCUUCCUUUGCUGCAUUCCCAUGAAAGUAUUCGGUGACUUCUUUUACAAGAGCCUUUAAUUUUGGUUUGGCUCCAUCCCUGUCAUUGGCUUGAAGCCUCUCGGAAGAACUCACACUCUGUUCAACCUCUUCUGAACCUUUCGUCACACUACCUUCAAUUGGUGACAAAGACUGCCUCUUUACAGAUGCAGAAUUAGAGGAGACACUAACAGCCGGAGACUCUGAUUUUCGCGGCGGCGGUGGAGGAGGCGGAGGUGGAGGUGGUGGAGGAGGAUUGAGUAAAGUAUUUGACACGUGCGAAACAGUGUCGGUUGUUGACUGAAGAUGCUUCAAAUUCGGAGGUGGGGGAGGCGCCGAAAAUUUCGGCUUUCUGGAAUGCUUAGGUAGCGGCGGCGACGGUGGAGGGGGCUGCUUUAUCGACGGAAUGAUGACACGGCGUAUCUCCGGCGAGGGUGCCGAAACGCGUGACUUGGGCGAAGUUCUCUUGGAAAACGGAACAACGGGUGUGGGCGUGGAAUUCGUGUCACGCUUCGCGGGACUACCGUUGACAAGAGAGCUCUGCCGCGAAGCCGGCGUGUAGUACCCAUCGACCGACGAGUUCUGCGGCGAGUGAAACACCGUGCCGCGGCUUUCCUCAUCGGACUCCGAUGAGGAGGAGACCGCCGGCGGGUAGUUUCCGUCGGGAGGCUUACUGAGCGGUGGCAUUGGCUGCAACUCAGGACUUGGACGGUAGCGAUCGGAUCGCUUGAGCUUGUGAUACGGCGAUCUGUUGGCCUUAUUAACAUCUCUGUUGUCUCGCGAGUCGUUGGUAGAGGCUCGCGUGGGUUCCACUGUCCCAAUGUAGAGGAAACUCGACGGUGGCGCAGUUGAAUCAACCUCGUUUCUGUUUGAGAUAUGGCUAUUGUUAUUGGUAUUCCCACUCCCAGCGACCAGUUUCUGAGACUCCACCGGGUGUUUGGCUCUGUGUUUGUACAAAAAGAAGGCCAACGCUGAUAGCAUUCCAAGGGUCACAAUCCCCACUGAGAUCGCGAUUGCUACCUUCUUUGUUCCCUUUGCGGGUUGUGUUGCAGUUGGGUUUGCAAUUGAAGUGUUGGAAUUGGACGGGGCUGCUUGGCUCUGAUCCGGUGGGGGCCCCGCCGGGUACUCGUGGAAGAAGGGGAUGUUUCCGCCUUCCGGCGAUGGAGGACUCUCCACCGGAAGUGGUGGCGGUGGUGCCGAACUCGCCGGGAACAAUGGCUGGUGCAGAAUUCUUCUUGUACCAGAUUCAUUAGCGCUGGUAUUACUAUUGACCCUUUUUGCAGUGUUGACUGGUAUGGAUAGGAAGAGGAACAGUGUGAGGAGGAUGAUGUAGAAGUAGAAGAAGCUCAAGUGAGGAGCUUUCAUGGCGAAUUAUCGUGGGGUUCGCUUGUUACCUUUUGUUUCACCCAAUUCAUGUCUGGGUUUCGUUUCUUUCCCGCAAAUUCCUCUCCUCGAAAUAAGAGAGAGAAAGAGAGUGUGUGUGUGUCUGAAAAGAGAGAGAGAGAGAGAGAGAGAGAGAGAGAGAGAGAGAGAGAGAGAGAGAGAGAGAGAGAGAGAGAGAGGAAACUUCUUUCGGCUGUAAUGUAAGAUCUGGAUGCUACAAAGCUUCCGUCAGCAGGAGCCGUUUUUAUUUUAUUUUUUUUAUGUUUUUUACUUUAAUCUUUUUUUAAUUUAUGUCAUUCUCAAGUGCAAUGUUGUUUCUAAAUUUUACUAAAUUAUGAAUUUACGGUGUAGUAAACGAAGUCAAUGAAUAGAGAGGAAAGAUUAUAACCAUUA
Vigna angularis (adzuki bean) is the source of this 3398-nucleotide long non-coding RNA. RefSeq lists it as uncharacterized. NCBI's taxonomy places the organism in Eukaryota, Viridiplantae, Streptophyta, Magnoliopsida, Fabales, Fabaceae. The record is from RefSeq and is a predicted model, not a curated record. The transcript has 4 exons.